CCAGGGGGACAAUUGGUUGGGGCGGUUGAGGACUUGAACCUGGGGAUGCUUGUCUAUCCGAAAGUCCAACUCCCUAUAUAUGGCUUGGAUUUGUUCCAUAGAGGGUGAAAGUCCCGUACGGAUAGAUUUAAUUGUCUUUAUAAGCAUGCCUUAGAUGUUCAGGUCUUAGAGUCGGAUUGCUUGAGAAUGCAGUCCAAAGUGGGUGGUAAACUCCAUCCAAGGCUAAAUACUGGCACGAGUCCGAUAGUAUACAAGUACCGCGAGGGAAAGUUGAAAAGUACUCUGAAGAGAGAGUAAAUAGUACGUGAAGCCGCCUGUAUGGAAGCUGGUGGAGUCAAGCUUCUUAUCGUUUCAAUUGGCAUGGAGAAUCCAUUUUUCUUGGGUUAUGGUCUUGUUGGCUUGGAAAUAACCGGGUGGUUCGCCAUCUCAUUUAUUCCGGGUAGUGUAUUUGUUGCGAGACCUAUCAUCCAGUCUCUUAUGCUAUUUGUUAUGAUAGUUAUCACAAUCAAUGCGUAUUAUUAUGCGUGGUUAUCAAACCACGUGUUAGCGGGCUUUAUUGUUCGCU
RNAcentral lists this ribosomal RNA (565 nucleotides) under Bifurcohaptor indicus. Its description in RNAcentral is "eukaryotic LSU rRNA". It matches the Rfam family "Eukaryotic large subunit ribosomal RNA", at positions 122 to 639 of the family's 3401-position model. The record is from RNAcentral. Lineage: Eukaryota; Metazoa; Platyhelminthes; Monogenea; Dactylogyridea; Ancylodiscoididae.